Molecule: ribosomal RNA, 649 nt
Filed under: uncultured bacterium
Lineage: Bacteria
Description: bacterial SSU rRNA
Rfam family: Bacterial small subunit ribosomal RNA
Source: RNAcentral
CAGGCCUAACACAUGCAAGUCGAACGGUAACAGGUCUUCGGACGCUGACGAGUGGCGAACGGGUGAGUAAUACAUCGGAACGUGCCCAGUCGUGGGGGAUAACUACUCGAAAGAGUAGCUAAUACCGCAUACGAUCUGAGGAUGAAAGCGGGGGACCUUCGGGCCUCGCGCGAUUGGAGCGGCCGAUGGCAGAUUAGGUAGUUGGUGGGAUAAAAGCUUACCAAGCCGACGAUCUGUAGCUGGUCUGAGAGGACGACCAGCCACACUGGGACUGAGACACGGCCCAGACUCCUACGGGAGGCAGCAGUGGGGAAUUUUGGACAAUGGGCGAAAGCCUGAUCCAGCAAUGCCGCGUGCAGGAUGAAGGCCUUCGGGUUGUAAACUGCUUUUGUACGGAACGAAAAAGCUUCUCCUAAUACGAGAGGCCCAUGACGGUACCGUAAGAAUAAGCACCGGCUAACUACGUGCCAGCAGCCGCGGUAAUACGUAGGGUGCGAGCGUUAAUCGGAAUUACUGGGCGUAAAGCGUGCGCAGGCGGUUAUGUAAGACAGAUGUGAAAUCCCCGGGCUCAACCUGGGAACUGCAUUUGUGACUGCAUGGCUAGAGUACGGUAGAGGGGGAUGGAAUUCCGCGUGUAGCAGUGAAAUGC